GUUGGGCAUGGUGGCACAUGCCUGUAAUCCCUGGAACUCAGGAGGCUGAGGCAGGAGGAUUGCAAGUUCAAGGCCAGCCUCAGUAAUUUAGUGAGGCUCUAAUCAACUUAGCAAGACCCUGUGUCAA
RNAcentral lists this small RNA (127 nucleotides) under Marmota monax (woodchuck). Lineage: Eukaryota; Metazoa; Chordata; Mammalia; Rodentia; Sciuridae. The record is from RNAcentral.